RNAcentral lists this ribosomal RNA (253 nucleotides) under uncultured bacterium. RNAcentral's name for it is "partial 16S ribosomal RNA". It matches the Rfam family "Bacterial small subunit ribosomal RNA", at positions 524 to 776 of the family's 1533-position model. The record is from RNAcentral.
UACGAAGGGGGCUAGCGUUGUUCGGAAUCACUGGGCGUAAAGCGCACGUAGGUGGACUUUCAAGUCAGGGGUGAAAUCCCGGGGCUCAACCUCGGAACUGCCUUUGAUACUGUUGGUCUUGAGUCCGGAAGAGGUGAGUGGAAUUCCUAGUGUAGAGGUGAAAUUCGUAGAUAUUAGGAAGAACACCGGUGGCGAAGGCGGCUCACUGGUCCGGUACUGACACUGAGGUGCGAAAGCGUGGGGAGCAAACAGG